Molecule: long non-coding RNA, 2936 nt
Filed under: Daphnia magna
Lineage: Eukaryota; Metazoa; Arthropoda; Branchiopoda; Diplostraca; Daphniidae
Description: uncharacterized LOC123471337, transcript variant X6
Source: RNAcentral
UGAUUAGUCAACACAAUAAAAAUAAAUGGCAAUAAAAUAAGUUAGUAAUGCUGAAAGAAAUUCUUGUGAUGGAACCAGAACACUACAUUCAAGUUGCAAGAUUGACCAAUAUUAUAAGGCUAACUAAUGAUUUGGGACAGUCACAGCCUUUACAACAAUUACGCUUUGCUACCCCUCACAUAACCGCUAACACCUUCCGUCGUCAAUAAUAAUGUUUAAAUUUAAAGAUCAGAGGGAAUCGAUUGGAAUUCAUUAAAUAAUGUUCAUAAAAACUGAACUCCAAAACUGGUAUGCUUUUAUGCUAUACCAACGUUUUUAAUAUCUCGUCUGUGGAACCAAGGGCUAUGGUUUUCCUUUUGCUAAAACAUUUUCAAGACAGCGGUUCAUCGUAAACAAAAAAAUACUUCUACCGACGAUGGCGAAGCUAAGUAUAUACAGUUUUUUUUGUUUCUUUUUUUUUUUUAAAUAUUUUCUUUCAUUAGAUGCCACAAGGAUAUGAAGGUUUUGCAUGAACUUUAGAUUGGGCAACCUAUUAUGAGAGAAAACUUGGACUAAGUUGAAAGCUGCACGACCAUAAAAAAAGAAUCUUGUUUUCAUGCGAAGCGCUCUAAGUACCCAAGUAAACGCAAACAGCUGACAGAGACAGUUUAGGAAGAAGCAACCGGGUUACCUUUCCGUUAAUUAUAGCCAAACGAUCUCUAACUAGGUAACUAAUUGGGCUGUUUACCCCGAUUGAAACCUCACGGGGCACGAGGCCAAAAUCAGACAAACCGUUGCGCUAUCAAUUCCACAAUCCACAAAAAUCAAAAUAAAGAAUUCGGGGUGGAGCAUCUAGGUUUUUUCCUCUCACCCCGUUGGGUUUCAAUCGGGGUGUGUAAUCGUGGAGUUAACUCUGAUUUCAUCAAGCGAUCGAGUAUAAUCGACUACAGCCGUAAAAUCAGAGUGCGUGCCCGAAUGUAAACUCCAAUUAUUGCUCUUUCUGCCACGUUUACUCUGAUUUCUAUUCAGAUUCCUAACACCAAACUUUAUUGUUCAAACCAUGGUGGUUCAAACUACGCUUCUUCCCGCCCCGCUGCGUUGACGAAAUAGACACCGAACAUCUCCGCAGAGUCAUAGAGGGAUGGUUCGUUCAUUGCGUCGACUUUGGCCAUAAGGCUUGGUCGUCAGUUUUCGAGGGUUUUUUAAGCAUUUAUUUUUCAGUUUUUAACUGAUACAAUAGAGGCCAGCACAGUAGUUAAGGAAAAACGGUAAAAGAAAGGCUUAGGUAGCUGGAAUUUAGCUUAUGAACGUAACUUUAGCUUGGAAUUGGAAAUGUAUGAAACAAAACCGUUGCAACAUUUAAAGAAUAUCUUAUGUUUUCACUCCUUUUUAAAUAUCUUGAUAUAACCUAGCCUAGGAUUGACAUGUAGUUUACUUAAAACACACUAGGUGCCAUCACUAUCGUUAAGGAGAAUUUUGACGACCAAGCCUUAUGGCCAAAGUCGACGCAGUGAACGAACAAUCCCCUCUAUGACUCUGAUCUCCGAUUGGGGUUUUUCCUGGUGGGGGAGGACCCUGAUUAAGCCAUUCGGAGCACAAACGGAGGAUCACUUUGACAACCAGGGCGGGGCGGGGAAAAAAAAUUGUGUCGGUUACGGUUGAAGGGUAAAAAUCGGGUUAGUUGGGUAGAAUGAGGUAUUAUCAGGGUUGUAAUCGCGGCGAAACUCGAUCGGUUCUGUUCUUGCAUUGAUCGAUUGGAUAAAUAUAAUAUAUAAUAUGGAUACAUAACUAUUAAAUAGAAAAUAAAGGCGAUUCGAGCUUUCUUUUGAUUAAAAUUAUUUUAUUUCUUUGUUCUUGGAAACAAGGAUUUAAAAAAUAGAGCUACGGUACUCGGAUUAACAGUCGAUAUUGUCAACAACUCAACAUUGCCAUACCCCUAUGGCAACCGGUUUUACCAACAUUUAUUUUUUCUUUUUCCCAAAAAAAAAAAAAAAUCUCUACUCUUUCGCCAUCUAGCGGUCGAUCUUGAACUCGGUUUCCCAAGUGAUUUAUUCCCUUUGUGUGACAUUGCACUAUUGCAGUUGCAGUCGAAGUCCUCGCGUUGCUGAGUCCCUCAAACAGCCUGCUGAUUUCUGAGCACAACAUCAAUCUUAAGUGAUUUCGUCGGCCGAAAGCGUCAGACGUUGAAUUCUGAGCACAGCAUCACCAUGGCUCAAAAUUAUUUGGUCGGCCGAAAGCGUCAGACAUUGAAUUCACCAUCUGAUAAGGGUAUGAAGGUGAAUUCCAUCACUGCUGUACUUAAACAUUCUCUGUCAGUAGUUCCAUGUCCAGACGGGACAGAACAUCUAUGGGAUAGAAUCAUAUGCUACGUUGGACUUGGUUAUUCAGUGAGAAGAAUAACGUGAGCUGUACUUAAACAUUCUCUGUCAGUAGUUCCAUGUCCAGACGGGACAGAACAUCUAUGGGAUAGAAUCAUAUGCUACGUUGGACUUGGUUAUUCAGUGAGAAGAAUAACAUGAGAAGAAUAACAACACACAACAUUUCUCAUUAGACUUGCAGUUAGGGAUGACGACUUCAAAGACAAAACAUCUGGAACAGGUUGGAAAGAAUUGCUUCUCGUUCCUUCCAACAACCGGCUUUUCGUAACAACUGUUUCUAUCUCUCGUUUCACCAUGUUGAAUUCAACUUGACCGACAUCAGCAGUACUGCAGGAGCGACGCUUUCACUUUCAGAGCCUCAGGAACGCGAGGACUUCGACUGCAGUAUCACACAAAGAGACAGUGUUGCCACGAAAAAAAUCAUGAUCGGGAUCGUUUACUGUUAUAUUAAAGUCUGUUGGAGACAAUGUUGUCAUAACAUGCUUCAAAACUCUCCCUGUAACAAUUUCCCCUCCACUUUCUUUAAUGUAACUUUGCAAUUCUUCUACACAAAGAGAAAUACAGAUGGGAAAUAACAAA